This 1203-nucleotide long non-coding RNA is filed under the name Phoenix dactylifera (date palm). Its description in RNAcentral is "long non-coding RNA (PDAC_LNC010814)". Lineage: Eukaryota; Viridiplantae; Streptophyta; Magnoliopsida; Arecales; Arecaceae. The record is from RNAcentral.
UAGUAAGAGAAGAUAGCAUCGUAUUUAUUCUAAUCAUAUGAUAAUUCAGGAAGCCUUUGAUCAAAGCAGAAUGAAAAUUAAAAAGAGUUUCUAAUGUUUUAUUAUUUGAAUUAUCAUUAAAAGAUUGAGAAAGAUAUGAAUAUGAAAUUGAGUUUGACAUAUAUUCAUACUCAUAUACAUAUUCGGGAUGCAGUUUGAUUAAAGGAUUGAAUUGCACGGUAACUUGCCACUGAAGGGUAUUUUUGGUAUUUCCACCAAAUUCCAUAUUUUCCGGGUAGACAUGACACGUUGCUAGACGUCAAUCUUGUCUUAUAGAUUUGAUCGAAUUAAAGAGUUUAAUUCGAUCACCAAUUAGAAAUGAUUCUAAUUGUUAAGUUUGGGUUCGCGCAGUUUGGACUUAAAUCGAUUAGAAGAGUUCUAAUCAACUUGGGUCAACUCGCACUCACACCUAUUGCUGGCUAAGUAUGGAACCCAAUGGGUCACACACAAGGAAACUUAUCAAGGGUCUAAUUGGAUUAGAUCAUAUUUGCAAGAUAAACAUCCUAGCAGGUGUUGCAAACCCUUAGCUCCUGAUUCGAAUUGGAUUCGAAUUUGAUUCUUNNNNNNNNNNNNNNNNNNNNNNNNNNNNNNNNNNNNNNNNNNNNNNNNNNNGGCACCUAAUUGGCUUGGUUUGAGUCUAAUUGGAUUAGAUUUAAUAAAUCAUUCAAUCUAGACCGUUAGAUCUUGAUCUACCGUUGGAUGAAGAUAUAAUGAAGAGUUGGUUUAACCCAAUUGGAUUGGGUUAGAGGAUGGCUAUCAUAAUUGACCAUUGGAUCUUAAUUCCACCAUUGGAUGAAGAUAUAAUGGGUCAAGUGAAUGGCGCCUUGCAUUGGAGCCCUUGGAUCAUCAUCAUGAAAGAUCAAGAGGUGAGGCAUGAUGGACAUGUGAUUAGCAUGUGAUGUUGACUUGGUCAAAAUAUGGCACCACAUGAAAGGACAUAUCAUUUGAUACACCUCCUCACUUGAUCUGCACCUCCUCUUAUUUGAUAUGGCCCUUUAGAUGAUGCCCUUUCAUGAGAGGAUGUGUGGAUGGGAUGCAUCCCUUGGAGAUGCAUCCCUACACCUUUUAUAAAUAGGCUAGCACUCCAUGGGUUUCAUCAUUCCAACUCCACCCCACUCCUCUCUUCUUUCUUUCUUACAUUAGUUUCUUUCUUUCUAGCAUUGC